AAGAGUUUGAAUGGAUUUUAUAUAAAUAUUUACCCCGACAAAGCUACUGCUGAGCUCGUGGGAUAAACUCGCAGCAGCUGGUCUCACUCUGCUUCCCUCGCUUGCCCCUGGAAGGGUUUAAUUACUCUGGAGAGGAGAGGGGAGAGAUCCAGACCCCAGUUCUGGCUCCAGACUGACCCAAAAAGCAGGACCGGGAUUUAAAUGAACUAUGGAUCUGAAGGACAGCACCAGCGAGGGCAGCAUGGGCAGCCUGCAGCCUUCCAGCAUCCAAAUUUUUGCCAACACUACCACGCUCCAUGGGAUCCGUCACGUCUUUGUCUACGGGCCGGUGACCAUCCGGCGCCUGCUCUGGACCUUGGCCUUUGUGGGCUCGCUGGGUCUCCUCCUGGUGGAGAGCUCGGACAGGGUGGCUUUUUACUUCUCCUACCAGCACGUGACCAAAGUGGACGAGGUGGUGGCGAACAGCCUGGUGUUUCCUGCUGUCACCAUCUGUAACCUCAACGAGUUCCGCUUCUCCCGGCUCACCACCAACGACCUGUACCACGCUGGGGAGCUCCUGGCUCUGCUGGAUGUCAACCUGCAGAUCCCCAACCCUCACCUGGCUGACCCCGCUGUCUUAGCCACCCUCCAAGAAAAGGCCAACUUUAAGCAGUAUAAACCCAAAGUUUUCAGCAUGCAAGAGUUCCUGGCACGGGUUGGCCACGACCUGAAGGAUAUGAUGCUGUACUGCAAGUUCAGAGGCCAGGAGUGCAACCACAAGGACUUCAAAACAGUGUUUACAAAAUAUGGGAAAUGCUACAUGUUUAACUCAGGAGAGGAGGGGCGGCCUCUCCUCACCACGGUGAAGGGGGGCACAGGGAAUGGCCUGGAAAUCAUGCUGGACAUCCAGCAGGACGAGUAUCUGCCCAUCUGGGGAGAAACCGAGGAGACGACGUUCGAGGCUGGAGUCAAGGUGCAGAUCCACAGCCAGUCCGAGCCUCCCUUCGUCCAGGAGCUGGGAUUUGGGGUGGCCCCAGGAUUCCAGACCUUUGUGGCCACCCAGGAGCAAAGGCUGACGUACCUGCCCCCGCCGUGGGGCGAGUGCCGCUCCCCGGAGCUGGGGCUGGCGUUUUUCCCGGUGUACAGCGUCACGGCCUGCAGGAUCGACUGCGAGACGCGCUACAUCGUGGAGAACUGCAACUGCAGGAUGGUGCACAUGCCAGGGGAUGCUCCCUUCUGCACCCCGGAGCAGUACAAGGAAUGUGCGGAGCCGGCGCUCAGUCUCCUGGCAGAGAAGGACAGCAAUUACUGCAUCUGCAGGACCCCCUGUAACCUCACCAGGUACAACAAGGAGCUCUCCAUGGUCAAGAUCCCCAGCAAGACCUCGGCCAAGUACCUGGAGAAGAAGUUCAACAAGUCGGAAAAAUACAUCUCAGAGAAUAUUCUCGUGCUGGACAUUUUUUUUGAAGCACUCAACUAUGAGACCAUUGAGCAGAAGAAAGCCUAUGAAGUGGCAGCCUUACUUGGUGACAUUGGUGGCCAGAUGGGGCUGUUCAUCGGGGCCAGCAUCCUCACCAUCCUCGAGCUCUUCGAUUACCUGUAUGAGCUGAUCAAGGAAAAGUUAUUGGACCUUCUUGGAAAAGAGGAAGAGGACGGGAGCCAUGACGAGAACGUGAGCACCUGUGAUCCAGUGCCAAACCACUCGGAGAGCCUGAGCCACACUGUGACCGUGCCCCUGCAGGCCCCGCUGGGGACGCUGGAGGAAAUCGCCUGCUGACCCCUCCCCACCACAGUGCCCAUCCCGAGGAAGGAAAACUGCACAGGGAAAACAGGGACCCAGCUCAGCUCCCAGGCUGGGAGAGCUGGGAAUGUUCACCUGGAAAAGGGAAGCUCAGAGAAGAGAAACCUCGGAGCCCCUUCCAAUGCCUAAAGGGGCUCCAGGAGAGCUGGAGAGGGACUUGGCACACGGGAUGGAGGGCCAGGACACUUUUUGGGAUUGUCCAAGCCUGAGCAGCAGCAGCAGCAGCAAAUCCCAAAGGAAGCAUCCCAAAUACCCCGAGCACUGCACGCCAGGGCUUUUCCUGGCCCCGGGAUUCCUCAGCUGCCUCUCUCAGCUCUGUUCCUCUUUGCAGUCCCUGGGUUUCAGUGCCAGAAGGAGCAUCCCAGAAUUCUCCAUUCCCAGCGCCGUAGGCUGAGAGUUUUACAAUAAAGAGAUCCCAAAGUCGGCGCUCUCGGAUUCUUCUCCCGGUCGCGUCCUCUGGGUGAGGUUGGGCUGAAUCCCGAGCUCAGCCCAAGGUGAGCAUCCCUGGAGAGGAGCCACAGGGAUCCCUAUGGAUCAUCCCAGCCCUGCUGUGCCUGCAGAGUCCGGGAGCAGCGGGUGGGGUUGGGCUCAUGAAUUUCUUUCAUUUUUGGGGGGAACUUUUGGAAUUUCCUUCUUCUCCCAUUCAUGGAUUCUGUGCUUUCUCCUCGUUCUCCUGACUGAUAUUAAAGCUGGUCUUGUGGAAA
RNA transcript from Passer domesticus (house sparrow), 2484 nucleotides. It is a transcript of the gene named acid sensing ion channel subunit 2, with no coding region annotated. The transcript has 11 exons. Lineage: Eukaryota; Metazoa; Chordata; Aves; Passeriformes; Passeridae. The record is from RefSeq and is a predicted model, not a curated record.